Molecule: ribosomal RNA, 460 nt
Filed under: uncultured bacterium
Lineage: Bacteria
Description: partial 16S ribosomal RNA
Rfam family: Bacterial small subunit ribosomal RNA
Source: RNAcentral
CCUACGGGUGGCAGCAGUGAGGAAUAUUGGUCAAUGGACGAGAGUCUGAACCAGCCAAGUCGCGUGAAGGAUGACUGCCCUAUGGGUUGUAAACUUCUUUUAUAAAGGAAUAAAACGAGGCACGUGUGCCUUUUUGCAUGUACUUUAUGAAUAAGGAUAGGCUAACUCCGUCCCAGCAGCCGCGGUAAUAAGGAGGAUCCUAGCGGUAUCCGGAUUUAUUGGGUUUAAAGGGAGCGUAGAUUGGUUGUUAAGUCAGUUGUGAAAGUUUGCGGCUCAACCGUAAAAUUGCAAUUGAUACUGGCAGUCGUGAGUACAGUUGAGGUAGGCGGAAUUCGUGGUGUAGCGGUGAAAUGCUUAGAGAUCACGAAGAACCCCGAUUGCGAAGGCAGCUUACUAAACUGUGACUGACAUUGAUGCUCGAAAGUGUGGGUAUCAAACAGGAUUAGAUACCCGGGUAGUC